UUCCACGAAACGACCUCAUGGGAGGUAGUAUCCGCCAUUUGUACCCGCCAAAAAAAAGUUUCCAGAGAGGGGAAAGACGCGAGAGGUUCUCGCGUGUAUCAAAUGAAACACGCGUUUCGUUCAUGCGUGUUUUAACUAAACACGCGAGAGGAAUUAGCGUGUUUUAAAUUAUACACGCGAGAGGCAUUAGCGUGUAUCACUUGAUACACGCGAGAGCAAUUCGCGUGUUUCACUUGAUACACGCGAGAGCAAUUCGCGUGUUUCACUUGAAUAACGCGAGAGCAAUUACGAGGCAGAAGCCCCUCUUCCUCACUCCCAGCAUUCUGCCUCUUCCUCACUCCCAGGCGCGACCUCUCUCUGCACCACCAUAAGCUGCGAAAUCCUCAUCUACCCGACGAAAAUCGAAGUGAAUCCGACAUAUAGCUGCUCCCAUUCAUCUUUUAACUCUCAUUAGGUUUGAUGGCGUUUGUGAGUUUAUAUUGGGAUGGGAAAAUUACUCAGCUCCCAGGUUUGGGUGUUGCUUAUGAGCCCCCUCGUGCAAACUCAUUUAUUAUAUUGAGUGAAAAUAUAUCUUAUUAUCAGCUAGUUUCAAUGAUAUGUGAAAAAAUUGGAAUUGAUUUAGAGGCACAUACGAUUGAUUUAACAUGGAGGCAUCCUGUAGUUUUUA
Salvia splendens (bonfire salvia) is the source of this 667-nucleotide long non-coding RNA. RefSeq lists it as uncharacterized. Lineage: Eukaryota; Viridiplantae; Streptophyta; Magnoliopsida; Lamiales; Lamiaceae. The transcript has 2 exons. The record is from RefSeq and is a predicted model, not a curated record.